This 158-nucleotide ribosomal RNA is filed under the name Penicillium chrysogenum. RNAcentral describes it as "5.8S ribosomal RNA". It matches the Rfam family "5.8S ribosomal RNA". Rfam says of the family: 5.8S ribosomal RNA (5.8S rRNA) is a component of the large subunit of the eukaryotic ribosome. It is transcribed by RNA polymerase I as part of the 45S precursor that also contains 18S and 28S rRNA. Lineage: Eukaryota; Fungi; Ascomycota; Eurotiomycetes; Eurotiales; Aspergillaceae. The record is from RNAcentral.
UUAAAACUUUCAACAACGGAUCUCUUGGUUCCGGCAUCGAUGAAGAACGCAGCGAAAUGCGAUACGUAAUGUGAAUUGCAAAUUCAGUGAAUCAUCGAGUCUUUGAACGCACAUUGCGCCCCCUGGUAUUCCGGGGGGCAUGCCUGUCCGAGCGUCAU